Pistacia vera is the source of this 268-nucleotide long non-coding RNA. RefSeq lists it as uncharacterized. The record is from RefSeq and is a predicted model, not a curated record. Lineage: Eukaryota; Viridiplantae; Streptophyta; Magnoliopsida; Sapindales; Anacardiaceae. The transcript has 3 exons.
CUUGGCUAAAGGCAGAGGAAUUUAAAAGGGUAUCAAAAUUGGAAAUUAAAGACAAUUAAUGAAAUGAAGGAUUGGAAGAAGAGAUGAUAUAGCAAAGGCGAUAUGGUAUCAAAUGAUUCAACACAAUCAAGUGUUCUCAUGGACAUAGAAAACUUCAAAUGGUUUGGCUGCAAGCAAGGCAUUGUGGCGGUUUGUAAACAUUUACUCUAUCAGUUCCAUUAUUGAAAGCAUAAAAGCAAGUGGCACUUAACUAUGAUCUGUUGCCAAG